Molecule: long non-coding RNA, 330 nt
Filed under: Mytilus galloprovincialis (Mediterranean mussel)
Lineage: Eukaryota; Metazoa; Mollusca; Bivalvia; Mytilida; Mytilidae
Source: RNAcentral
CUUUGCACACAUCCCAUUGUAUGUUUACUCUAUUAUUGUCGAGAGUCGUUCUUUUUAAUCUUCCCAAUAACAAGCUGUUAACCAAAACCACGUAGCGUUACGGUCUCCAAAUCUCCAUUUUCUGCCGGAAUUAAUUUCUCAUUUAUCAAUGCAGCAGUGUCCACAAUCAGGCUCACAAUUUUGUCAUUCAUAGUACCUCGUACUGCUAAUCUCUUUCAAAUUGUUCGUCUGAUGACAACAUCGGACGAGGCCAUGGGCCUCUGUUCGAUUUUGUGAUGAGGUAUGUUUCAUGGUCAAUAGACUUUGGAAUCGUGCGUUGGCCUACUGGCC